Molecule: ribosomal RNA, 380 nt
Filed under: uncultured soil bacterium
Lineage: Bacteria
Description: bacterial SSU rRNA
Rfam family: Bacterial small subunit ribosomal RNA
Source: RNAcentral
AGAACGAACGCUGGCGGCAUGCCUAACACAUGCAAGUCGAACGAGACCUUCGGGUCUAGUGGCGCACGGGUGCGUAACGCGUGGGAAUCUGCCCUUGGGUUCGGGAUAACAGUUGGAAACGACUGCUAAUACCGGAUGAUGACUUCGGUCCAAAGAUUUAUCGCCCAGGGAUGAGCCCGCGUCGGAUUAGCUAGUGGUGAGGUAAGGCUCACCAAGGCACGAUCCGUAGCUGGUCUGAGAGGAUGUUCAGCCACAUGGGACUGAGACAUGGCCCAGACUCCCGUACGGGAGGCAGCAGUAGGGGAAUAGUUGGACAAGUGGGACGAAAGGCCUGAUCCGAGUCAAUAGGCCGCGUGAGUGAUCGGAAGGCCGUAAGGUUA